UACGUAGGGGGCGAGCGUUGUCCGGAAUUAUUGGGCGUAAAGAGCGUGUAGGCUGUUCGGUAAGUCUGCCGUGAAAACCUGAGGCUCAACCUCGGGCGUGCGGUGGAUACUGCCGGGCUAGAGGACGGUAGAGGCGAGUGGAAUUCCCGGUGUAGUGGUGAAAUGCGUAGAGAUCAGGCGGAACACCCGUGGCGAAGGCAGCCAGCUGGGUCGUCCCUGACGCUGAGGCGCGAAGGCGUGGGGAGCGAACGGG
RNAcentral lists this ribosomal RNA (253 nucleotides) under uncultured bacterium. RNAcentral describes it as "partial 16S ribosomal RNA". It matches the Rfam family "Bacterial small subunit ribosomal RNA", at positions 524 to 776 of the family's 1533-position model. The record is from RNAcentral.